This 155-nucleotide ribosomal RNA is filed under the name uncultured bacterium. RNAcentral describes it as "partial 16S ribosomal RNA". It matches the Rfam family "Bacterial small subunit ribosomal RNA", at positions 355 to 507 of the family's 1533-position model. The record is from RNAcentral.
UAGGGAAUAUUGGUCAAUGGGGGCAACCCUGAACCAGCCAUGCCGCGUGCAGGAAUAAGGCCCUAUGGGUCGUAAACUGCUUUUGAACGGGAAGAAAUCUAUUUACGUGUAGAUAGUUGACGGUACCGUUAGAAUAAGGAUCGGCUAACUUCGUG